GAAUUAGGAGCAUUAUGGAGACCUAGCUCCUGCCUUCCUAUUCCCCACCUCCUCCCUCACCACCUCUUCCGAUUCGCAGUCUUUUAGGUUUACUGCGGCACAUCGGACCGGCAGGCUCUCUGGACUGGCCAAGCCCUUUCUUGCUCUACUCCUUCUGCCUGGGUGAGCCACCACACCCGCACCUGGCUAUUCACUGAAAGUCAGCUCGGCUAUCUCCUCCUCUGGAAACCGUUCUCCUGUCACCACCAGUCUGGUCACCACAUGCUCCCAUAGGCUCUCUAGGCUCGACCAACUUCAUCACCCGUCUGCCUCACUCUGUUGGGAGUUCCAUAGGUGGCGAGCUGGCUCAGAGGUCAACUAUGAGCUGAUCCAGAAAUGAAGACCCAUCAAACAGCCACGGAAACAGACAGAAGCUGAAGGCAGACCCACACCUUCCCUCUGGCUUCUGCCGUUGGAGACCCAGAAAGUCUGGCGAAGGGAAACAAGGUGUGGAAAAACAAGAGAAGAAAGCUGUUGUACUUCUGCCUGUCUCCACAAGGACCCCACCUGUACGUAGGAAAGAUGGACAAGACUGUAAAGUAACUUGAAGAUAGAGACUGUGUGUGGAUUUCUAUGGCUUCAGUGGCACCAAACACAGCACUGUGAUUUAAAGAGGAUGUUCAGCAAGAUUUCUUAAGGAAACGACACUCAAGGCUAGCGAUGUGCAGUGUGAUACUCUCGCAAUCUGGGCAGCAGCAUCAAGCCGCAGCUGUCAAUCAGCCACGCCAUCACGAGGGUAAAGGCGAUACUCUCCCAUGGACUGUGAUGCAGAUGAUUCUGUUCAACUGGAGGCCAGUGUGAGGAGAACCAUCCAAAGCAGUGGGGGACCAGGAGGUGGGUCCCCUAGGAUGAGGAGGCAUUCUGAAUAAACUCUGUGCUGUGUACCUGCAUUUUGGCUGUGAGCUGCCACAUGAGGUCAGGUGUAGAAUUUUUCACUUGAGGUGCCAUGUUAAUGUUCCGAAAGUUCUGGAUUUUGGAGCAUUUCAGACUUUGGAUGUUGAGAUUAGGGGUGCUCAACCUGUUCUAAGCAGACGGAUGGCUACAGUAAGGCUGUUCCGAAGCUUGGCAAUGUCUUCACCUUUUAAGAGGAAGAAUCCUAAUGGGUGAGGGUAACUCAUCCAAGUCCCGGAAACACAGAGCUGAAGAGGCUCAGGAAGUCUCUAAGUCCAUCCGCUGAAGGUGCUGAGACAGCACCACUGGGACUGGGAUGAAAUGGUAGCUGGCACUAACUAAGGAGCAACCUUUACAGUGGAAGAUGUGACCACAGGAGAAUGGCCUGUCGGGGUCCAGGAAAAGGGACUCCCCAAAGCAAGAACUCAGGUCUGUCCCAGCACUGCCCUUGCAGGUCUGUGUGAGAGCAAACCUUUAGCCGGGGUCACAGGUAACUAAGCCCUGUGCAGAUACACCCGGGAACCUCUGUUUUAAAAAUGACCCAUUUGUGUGUGUGGGUGGGUUUCUCCACGUCGGUCAGGCUGGUCUUGAACUCCCAGCCUCAGGUGAUCUACCUACCUCGACCACUCAAAGUGCUGGGAUUACAGGCGUGAGCCACUGUGCUCGGUCCCAUUUCCUUUUUCUUCCUUCCCUCCCCUCUUACCUCUUCAUUCCUUCCCUCCCUAGACACCCCCUCAUCAGUGCUAGCUUAGCUAAUUAUGCCCUUACUUGAGAAAUCCCAGCGGCUAAUCUUGAAACAAUCCAGGCAUAGUGCCCCACUCCUCCCACUUAGGGGGAGUCAUGAACAAUUGGGUCAAAAUCAAGAUAAUACCAACCAGACUCCCGAUGAGCAAUUAGCGAAGGUAGCCAUCAGAACAAGACACGCGAGCCCAGUACCCUGUACCACUCCCGCAUGUCCCCCAUACUAGGUUUCCCUUUAAAACUCUAUAGUACAUUAUAAAAUGUGAGCGAAUACUUUAGAAUGCUAGCUUGCCAUCUUCUGGGUUUGCCGGCUUUGCCUUUCCUCCUAGCAACCCUUGCCUCUGGCUUUGCAGCAGCAAGUGGCUGAACCUGGGUCCAGUUACACAGCCGUGUUCUUGGUGUGCAAAAGAGGCACCAGGCUCUUGAUACCAGCCCCAGCUCCGAAUCAGUGCUUCUGGUGCUAUAGUUCAUCUUUUCUACACUGUCCUAUGCACAGAGCCAGGCUGGUGAGGCUGUGGGAGCGUCCCGGGAUCCUCAACAGUCCCGUUUCUCCUGGUAAAGAAGGACUGCCAUCUUUGUGCAAAGCGCCUCUGCCAUCUCUCAUCCUCCCUCCCCUUCUAAGCGAGAAAACCUGGCUGAAGAGCAGAAGCCUGCUUUCCAGAGCAGCCAUGCCUACAGCCCUCACACCUCUGCCCCUCCCUAACUAGCCUGGACACCUGGGGUGGAGGUGGUGGGGAGAUGGGGGGAGUAUCAAAAUAGAGUUUUUGUCUCUGCAAAGCCAAGGACUGGGGUUGGCCCAGGCACUUUCCUCUGAUGAGGCCCAGCUAUUAGCAGAUUGUUGAUCCUUUUUAUUCUAAAUGUAAGAUUUCAAUUCUACAUAUGCACAAGAAUGUAAUUUGCUUCAUUGAUGUUUUCAAACAUGACAUAAAAUUGCUCAAAGUAUGCCUUUAUAUUUUUAUACCUUACUUAUAAUUUUGUUUCUUUUUAACUCACCCAGCCCCCACUUCCCGUUAGAUUCACCAGAGGUUUUCAUGGUCUUUUCAAAGAACAGACACGCUCACGGCUCAAUACAGGCAAAACCAGGCCACAGCUCACCCUGCCAGGAGAAUCCACACCUACAGAGGGGAUGCCGCCCUCCAGCAGCCCUAAAAGAAAUUUCUUUCAAGAAACUUGGCUUCAUACCCGUGCCAAAGCACUAUGAAGAGAGGUCCUCUUUCGUUCCGUUCAGUGCAGCAGUUGAAAAAGGAAAGGGAGAUUGUGUCCCGCAGUUUGAAAAACACUGACAUAGUAAACCUCAACAAAUGUUUGGUGAGUAAAUGAAUGAUGGAACAAAUACCUGAAUAUUUCUGUCUCAACAUCAGCAAA
Callithrix jacchus (white-tufted-ear marmoset) is the source of this 3036-nucleotide non-coding RNA. Lineage: Eukaryota; Metazoa; Chordata; Mammalia; Primates; Cebidae. The record is from RefSeq and is a predicted model, not a curated record.